UGCCCCCACUGUAAUGGGCAAAGAGGCACCUUGUUGGUAGUGCUGUUCUUACAUCAGCCAGGGGCAGAGCAGGUGGAAGUUCUUUGUUCAUUCUAGCUUGAAGCCACGUGGCUUGGUGGCCAAAGCUAUCUUAUGCCUAGAACUCAUAA
Mus pahari (shrew mouse) is the source of this 149-nucleotide small nucleolar RNA. RefSeq annotates it as small nucleolar RNA SNORA48. NCBI's taxonomy places the organism in Eukaryota, Metazoa, Chordata, Mammalia, Rodentia, Muridae. The record is from RefSeq and is a predicted model, not a curated record. The transcript has a single exon.